CCUACGGGAGGCAGCAGUGAGGAAGAUUGGUCAAUGGACGAGAGUCUGAACCAGCCAAGUAGCGUGAAGGAUGACUGCCCUAUGGGUUGUAAACUUCUUUUAUAUGGGAAUAAAAUGUUCCACGUGUGGGAUUUUGUAUGUACCAUAUGAAUAAGGAUCGGCUAACUCCGUGCCAGCAGCCGCGGUAAGACGGAGGAUCCGAGCGUUAUCCGGAUUGAGUGGGUUUAAAGGGAGCGUAGGUGGAUUGUUAAGUCAGUUGUGAAAGUUUGCGGCUCAACCGUAAAAUUGCAGUUGAAACUGGCAGUCUUGUGUACAGUCGCGUUGGGCGUCUUUCGUGGUGUUGCGG
RNAcentral lists this ribosomal RNA (346 nucleotides) under uncultured bacterium. Its description in RNAcentral is "partial 16S ribosomal RNA". It matches the Rfam family "Bacterial small subunit ribosomal RNA", at positions 338 to 681 of the family's 1533-position model. The record is from RNAcentral.